RNAcentral lists this ribosomal RNA (254 nucleotides) under uncultured bacterium. RNAcentral's name for it is "partial 16S ribosomal RNA". It matches the Rfam family "Bacterial small subunit ribosomal RNA", at positions 524 to 776 of the family's 1533-position model. The record is from RNAcentral.
UACGUAGGGUGCAAGCGUUAAUCGGAAUUACUGGGCGUAAAGCGUGCGCAGGCGGCUUUGCAAGACAGAUGUGAAAUCCCCGGGCUCAACCUGGGAACUGCAUUUGUGACUGCAUGGCUGGAGUGCGGCAGAGGGGGGAUGGAAUUCCGCGUGUAGCAGUGAAAUGCGUAGAUAUCAGGAGGAAUACCGAUGGCGAAGGCAGGUCUCUGGGCUGACACUGACGCUCAUGCACGAAAGCGUGGGGAGCAAACAGG